RNAcentral lists this long non-coding RNA (513 nucleotides) under Helianthus annuus (common sunflower). The record is from RNAcentral. Lineage: Eukaryota; Viridiplantae; Streptophyta; Magnoliopsida; Asterales; Asteraceae.
CCUCCCAAUUAACAACAACAAUGGUGGGCUGGGCGAAGAGAAACGGCAUUAGAUGAUGCAAAAUCUCUUCGGAGAUCAAUCAAUCAAUCAAUCAGAAGAAGAAGAGGUUGUUGAAUCGGAGCACGAAUCAAACCGACAACCCGAUUAUGCUUCGCAUAAAGCUUCUGGAGGCAGUCUCAAGCGCCAUUAGAUUGAAUCAGAUGAGGAGUCUCCCCAAAAAGGCAGCUGCCGCAUCUCAUUGUCGAAAGGCGCUUGUUUAUGAUAGCUAUGAAGAGUAAAAUAUAUGCGACUUGAUUCAUAGCACUACAAACUCACUGAGGACCACAAUGGUGAAUGGUGAAUGGUUGAUGGUCAACAAACACAACAAAACAUAUCUUACCUUUUUUUCUCUGCUCACAUGUGACAACAUCAACAUAUCACAUUUCGUAUCAGUUUUCUUAAGUUUUUUAGUAGCUAAUGUUGUCUUGUACUUUGUUGUAUAUAAUCUUUUCAUGCUUGUUUGAUCAUUAUUGC